GAUCGAUGUCGUUUUCUGGUGUGGAGAGGUGCGAUAAUCAUCAGGAUUUGCGUGUGGACGAUAAUGAACUGUCGGAUGAGGAUGGAUCAUCGCAAUUAUUAGGGGAGAAGAAGAGGAGGCUCAAUAUGGAGCAAGUGAAAGCACUGGAGAGAAGCUUUGAAGUGGCUAAUAAGCUUGAGCCUGAGAGGAAAAUACAGUUGGCUAGAGCUUUGGGAUUGCAACCCAGGCAAAUUGCUAUAUGGUUCCAGAACAGAAGAGCAAGGUGGAAGACAAAGCAAUUGGAAAAAGAUUAUGAGAUGUUGAAAAGACAUUUUGAUUCACUUAAAACUGAUAAUGACGCACUCAAGGCCCAAAACAAGGAACUUCAUUCCGAGCUGCAGUUAUUAAGUGUGAAGAAGAGAGAAUCAUCAGGCGGAGGCGGAAUCAUGUUUAAUCUGAACAAAGAAAACGAAGGAUGUUGGAGUAAUAACGGAAGUGACGACAACAACAAUAACAACAACAGCAGCAUAGACGUAAAUCUGGGAACAAGGACAUCCUCAGGUGACAGCCCAUUUUACUCCAAGAAUGUUUUUCCACCCGAACCCGGCCCAGUCCCUCUGGCCCAGUUUCUUCAGACCUCAUCAACACCACCUGAUCAUCUCACCCAUUGCCACAAGAAUAUUGAUCCAACGGUCCAAAAUGAAGGCUUCUG
Molecule: unclassified non-coding RNA, 691 nt
Filed under: Hevea brasiliensis (rubber tree)
Lineage: Eukaryota; Viridiplantae; Streptophyta; Magnoliopsida; Malpighiales; Euphorbiaceae
Source: RNAcentral